RNAcentral lists this ribosomal RNA (520 nucleotides) under uncultured Hysterangium. RNAcentral's name for it is "eukaryotic LSU rRNA". The stretch from base 7 to 161 matches the Rfam family "5.8S ribosomal RNA". Lineage: Eukaryota; Fungi; Basidiomycota; Agaricomycetes; Hysterangiales; Hysterangiaceae. The record is from RNAcentral.
ACAUACAACUUUCAACAACGGAUCUCUUGGCUUUCGCAUCGAUGAAGAACGCAGCGAAAGUGCGAAACGUAAUGUGAAUUGCAGAAUUCAGUGAAUCAUCGAAUCUUUGAACGCAUCUUGCGCUCUUCGGUAUUCCGAGGAGCAUGCCUGUUUGAGUGUCGUGACAAUCUCUCGACCUUCCCCUCGCGUUCGCGUUCGGAGGGUCGGAUUUUGGACGUUGCCGUCUUUCACCGGAAGGCUCGUCUCGAAAUGCAUUAGCCUCGUUCCGGCCUCGGUCCUUCCACAGACGAUAUGGCGUGAUAAUGAAAAAACUCGCUGGCGUCGGUGUCGGGCCUUGGAGACGGGGUGGGCUCACAGUCGUCUCCGGACAAUUUCCCUCGAUCUGACCUCAAAUCAGGUAGGACUACCCGCUGAACUUAAGCAUAUCAAUAAGCGGAGGAAAGGAAACUAACAAGGAUUCCCCUAGUAACGGCGAGUGAAGCGGGAAGAGCUCAAAUUUGUAAUCUGGCGGUCUCAGGCC